This 488-nucleotide ribosomal RNA is filed under the name uncultured bacterium. RNAcentral describes it as "partial 16S ribosomal RNA". It matches the Rfam family "Bacterial small subunit ribosomal RNA", at positions 30 to 507 of the family's 1533-position model. The record is from RNAcentral.
AUUGAACGCUGGCGGCAGGCCUAACACAUGCAAGUCGAACGGUAGCACAGAGAGCUUGCUCUCGGGUGACGAGUGGCGGACGGGUGAGUAAUGUCUGGGAAACUGCCCGAUGGAGGGGGAUAACUACUGGAAACGGUAGCUAAUACCGCAUAACGUCUUCGGACCAAAGUGGGGGACCUUCGGGCCUCACACCAUCGGAUGUGCCCAGAUGGGAUUAGCUAGUAGGUGGGGUAAUGGCUCACCUAGGCGACGAUCCCUAGCUGGUCUGAGAGGAUGACCAGCCACACUGGAACUGAGACACGGUCCAGACUCCUACGGGAGGCAGCAGUGGGGAAUAUUGGACAAUGGGCGCAAGCCUGAUGCAGCCAUGCCGCGUGUAUGAAGAAGGCCUUCGGGUUGUAAAGUACUUUCAGCGGGGAGGAAGGGGAUGAGGUUAAUAACCGCAUCGAUUGACGUUACCCGCAGAAGAAGCACCGGCUAACUCCGUG